CCCAACCCAUUUAGAAAAUAGAUCUUAUUUUUUGUCCAAGCCCAUUUUUCAGAUGUAAUAGGCCCAUUUUACCCGAGCCCGUAAAAAAACUAUACCAGAACCAAAAAUAGAAAAAUAAUAAUAAUAAAAAAUAAAGCCAUGAGCCAAAUAAAUUAAAAGUCCAAGUCCUUUUACAAAAAAUAAAGGCCCAAAACACUAACCCAAAUGCAAUAACAAAACAUAACCCGAAAUAGAAAUAAAACACUAGUUCAAAACCUAAAAUCCUAACCCAAUUUACAUACGGCCCAAAUGAGCUCAAAAUGAGAAAACACUAGAAACCCUAGAGGUUUCUGGAAUACGCAGUCCAAUAGCUAGCCAUGAAAUCGAGCCUCUCACGAACGGCCUCCCCACAAGUAGCUUGCUUCUCUGUACGUCUUCAUGUCAACAUAGAACCUGCGAGAACAGAAAUGCUAACAGAAUAUACAGCAAAUGAAAGUAGGAAAAUAGAAUUUUUCAUUUUUUAUUCAUUCUGUAAAUUCGGCAAUAAAAAGCCAUGUGCACACUGAAAUACGCAUACAAAAUAUCAGAAAGGAGCAAACAUAAAGUUAUAGAAAGGUGAUCCAAAAAUCUGUUUAUUUCUUUUUUGUUUCUUUCAAUUUGCUUGCAACAUUAGAAUAAAAAAUUGAAAAAGAUACUUGAAUUGAUGCUGAUGAAUGCCCAAGUAUCUAGGAAGUAUGGAGAUUUGGGGCGAGGGUCGAAUGUUUUUUUUCUUUCUAAUUUUUUCUUUGUUUUUCGGGAGAAUAAUAUACGAUUUGGGGUUUUUUUUUAAAAAAACAAAGAAAAGGAGAAAGAGUAGCUUACCAGAUCUCCAUGGGUGACCUUCGUUGGCAAGACCGGGUCGCUGCUUGCGCACCGUCGACCAUCAAACUGAAUAGUGGGUUCGGCGGCUGCUAGAAGGAAACCCUAGCAGAAUGAUUUCAAGGCUGUAGUUAUUUUAAUUAAAAGUUUGGCUGUGUUUAGAGAAGAAAAUAGGAGAAAAAGAGGUUUUAAUAACCCAUUAAAAAACGACGCCGUUUAAAGAAGGGAAAGAUCCGCGCGUUGACCCGAUCCGAAAGCGGAUCCGCGCCCUUUUGUUUCAGAUGGGUAAUUUGCGCGGUUAAUUCCUCCCCUUUGCAUCGCAUUUCAAUUGACUCUUAUUGGCAUCUUAUCUAUUUUUUUAAAUUUUCCCCAAAAGUCUGUGUGCUAUUUCAUUUUAGUCUGCGCCUAAGUGCUGCGUUUUGGGAUCUAGAAUAUUUCCAGCUUUG
Molecule: long non-coding RNA, 1283 nt
Filed under: Gossypium barbadense (sea-island cotton)
Lineage: Eukaryota; Viridiplantae; Streptophyta; Magnoliopsida; Malvales; Malvaceae
Description: long non-coding RNA (GBAR_LNC003462)
Source: RNAcentral